CCUUGCCAGCAUCCACCAGGCCCAACACCAGGCCAUCGUAGAAAUGCACAUUUUGGGGUACUCCUUCGGGCCCUGGAAGAGGACCGGCGGGUGCUGCGGAGCUUAGUUCCCCGGCAACAGCGAACCCUCCCGUGCUACUCAUGAAGAUGGGGCCUCAAGAUGAACCGGAGGCCUACCUCGAGCUCUUUGAGCACACAGCCAAAGUCCUGAGAUGGCCACAGGAACAAUGGGUGGUACAUCUUCUGCCGCUGCUGACCGGGGAAGCCCAGAUCGCGGCACAACAACUUCCGGUCGCCGACUUACUGGACUACGCGAGGUUGAAGAAGUCCAUCCUGCAACGGGUUGGCCGCAGCCCAGAAGAACACUCCACUCCUUGAUGCUGAGCGAGGUCGGCUGCCCAUUUGUCUUUGCUCAGCAGCUCCGUGACGCCUGCUGGUGGUGGGUGCUGGCCAAGGAAGACAGCAACGCUGAUGAAAUCAUCAGCUUGGUGGUGCUGGAGCAGUUCAUCUCCCAGCUGCCGAAGGGGAUGGCCGAGUGGGUCGCUGGACUAAGCAGUCCAGCUGGCGGAAGACCAUCUGAUGGUGUAUUCGGGGGCCGGCGCACCCCGUGUCCUUUCCCCCCUGUUGUCUCCUUCCCUGUUCCCUCCCCCCCUCCUUCCUUCCGCCCUGUUCCAUUUCCCCAGAAAUGGGGGAACAUUCCCCCAAGAUCGGCUCCCCGGUCAUGGGAGUUCCCUGCUCUAACAAACCCUGUCUCUCCCCUCUCUUCCUCUCAGGUGGAGUCUCCGCCAUGAGUGUGGGUGGGAGGCCUGGGCCGGUCUGCUGGGGUUGCUGGGAGCCAGGUCAUGUCUGAGAGCAAUGCCAUGUAUUGGAGGUGGGGGCCUUGAUUCGGAUCCCUGACACCCCACGGACUGCCCCUGGUUGAGCAGUGACGUAUCAAGUACCUGUGAGUAUUAAGGGCUUGGUGGAUUCAGGUUGUAAUCAAACCUCCAUUCAUCAAUGCUUGGUUCAAAACAGGGCAUUGGAAACAGAUAAUUGGGUAAAGGUGAGGUGUGUGCAUGGGGAUAUUCAUGAUUAUCCUGUAGUGACUGUCACGAUAAUGUUCCGGGGACAAAAGCAUAAUGUUGAGGCGGUGGUUACACUGCGCCUCACCCAUCCACUAAUUUUGGAAACUAAUUGGCCAGCUUUUCAUUUAUUAUUGAAGGGGCUGUGUGCGGAUGGGUCCUGUGAGGAAGUGAAUCGUGUGGGAUGUGCAAAGCUCUGGCUGGGGAAGCAUGGCUUGGGCCGUCUACCUCUGCUCCGCAUCAGGCUGACGCUGGGGAAGGAGAGGUGUCAUACUCCCCUGCCCUUAGGGAAUUCCUGGUGGAGGAUUUCCCUCUAGAGCAGUCGCAAGACGAAACCCUGAAACACAUGUUUGACCAAGUGAUAGGGAUUGAUGGUCAACGUCUUCAGCCGGACAUCGCACUCACAUAUCCAUAUUUUUCAAUUAUAAAAGAUCGGUUGUAUAGAGUGACACAGGACACUCGCACAGAGGAAAAUACAACCCAGUUGUUAGUACCAAAGAACCGUCGAGACAUGUAAUUCCAGGCUGCUCAUUAUAAUUCGAUGGCAGGUCACUUGGGACAGGGGAAAACACUAAGCCAUCUCAUGGUCUGUUUCUAUUGGCCAGGCAUUCACAGGGAUGUUCGCAGUUGGUGUGCCGCAUGCUGUGAAUGUCAGCUGGUGAAUCCGCCAGUCGCUCCAAAAGCGGCGUUGCACCCUCUUCUGUUGAUCGAUGUUCCUAUUGAGCAAAUUGCCAUGGACCUCGUCGGGCUAUUAGAAGGGAUGGCACCCGGACAUCGCAUUGUGUUAGUCCUGGAGGAUUAUGCAACGCAAUAUCUGGAAGCAGUGCCUCUGCGCAACAUCUCAGCACGUAGUGUUGCGGAAGCACUCUUCAGAAUUAUCUCCUGAGUGGGGAUUCCGAAAGAAAUCCUCACUGAUCAGCGCACUACUUUCAUGUCACGUACACUGCGUGAGCUGUACUAAUUAUUGGGUAUUAUAUCGAUUCAGACAAGCGUGUACCAUCCACAAAUGGAUGGCUUGGUUGAACGAUUUAAUAAGACCUUAAAAAACAUGAUUCGUAAAUUUGUGCACGAAGAUGCUCGGAAUUGGGAUAAGUGCCUUGAACACCUGUUAUUUGCAGUACGAGAGAUCCCACAAGCCUUCACGGGGUUUUCCCUGUUUGAAUUGUCAUAUGGGCGUAAGCCCUGUGGCAUGUUAAAUGUCAUGAAGGAAAAUUUGGAGGAGGGACCUUCACAGAGUAAAAAUGAAAUUCUUGACCUGAGAGCAAAACUCCACACACUUGGGCGACUAUCACAGGAGAAUUUGCUACAGGCUCAAGAACAUCAGUCCCGACUGUAUAACAGGCGAGCCCAGCUACAGGAAAUUGCACCGGGAGAUAAAGUACUUUAAUUACUGCCCACAUCGAGCUUGAAAUUACUUGCAAAGUGGCAAGGGCCAUUUGAGGUCGCACGGCGAGUUGGGGAAGUCAACUAUGAGGUAGUGCCUACGGAUAGAGGCGGGGCUCGCCAAAUUUACCACCUCAACCUACUAAAACCAUGGAGAGAGGUGGUUCCUGUAUCCUUGGUGAUGGUAGUUCUGGAGAGGGAGGAGCUCGGUCCGAAGGUGAGUCUAAUAGCCAAUCAGUUCACCCUGGUCCCUUGUGGAGACCACCUCUCACCGUCACUACGUACGGAGGUUGCCAGAUUGCAAAAUAAUUUCUCUGACGUGUUCUAGCCUCUCCCCGGCUACACUAAUCCCAUAAAACACCACAUCGAGACAACCCAGUGGAACGUAAUCGGCCCUACUGGUUACCUGAACACAAUAAACAGGUAGUAUGGGAAGAAUUAAAGGCCAUGCUCGAUAUGGGGAUAAUAGAAGAAUUCCACAGCGAUUGGGCCAGCCCGGUAGUUCUGGUGCCUAAGAGCGAUGGUCCGGUUCUGUGUGUAUUAUAGGAAAGUCAAUGCGGUGUCAAAAUUUGACCCGUAUCCAAUGCCUCGUAUUGACAAACUGCUCGAUCGGUUGGGCACGGCUCGCUUUUAUUCGACACUGGAUUUAACAAAGGGAUAUUGGCAGAGACCCUUAAUGCUGAUGUCCCGUGAGAAAACGGCCUUCUCCACACCGUUUGGGUUGCACCAAUUUGUGACCCUUCCAUUCGGUUUGCUUGGGGCCCCGGCUACGUUUCAGCGUCUUAUGGACAGAGUCCUCAGACCGCAUGCUGCAUAUGCCGCUGCUUAUUUGGAUGAUAUCAUUAUUUACAGUAAUGAUUGGCAGUGGCACAUGCAGCAUCUGAGGGCCAUUCUGAGGUCACUGUGACGAGCGGGGCUCACAGCAAACCCGAGUGCACAAUUGGACGGGUGGAGGUACGGUAUCUGGGGUUCCACUUGGGUCAUGGGCAAGUGCAGCCACAAAUUUAUAGAACCACAGCAAUUGCGACAUGCCCAAGACCCAAGACCAAAAAGGAGGUGAGACAGUUCCUGGGGCUGGCUGGCUAUUAUCGAAGGUUUGUGCCUAAUUAUUCAGAUGUCACCAGCCCGCUGAAUGAUCUCACUAAAAAGGGAGCUCCAGACCCGGUCCAGUGGACAGAGCCAUGCCAACAAGCUUUCACGCAGGUAAAAGCUGCACUUUGUGGCGGGCCGCUUUUGCAUUCCCCUAACUUCUCUCUCCCCUUUGUUUUGCAGACGGAUGCAUCGGACAGGGGGCUGGGUGCUGUACUGUCCCAGGUGGUGGAGGGGGAGGAGCGCCCAGUGCUGUACAUUAGUCGGAAGCUCUCUAUGAGAGAGACUAAGUACAGCACCAUAGAGAAGGAAUGCUUGGACAUCAAAUGGGAAGUCCUCACUCUCCGCUACUAUUUGCUGGGACGAGCAUUCACCCUCGAUUCGGACCAUGACCCGCUCCAGUGGCUCCACCGCAUGAGGUAUGCCAACACCUGGAUCACUCCUUGGUAUCUGGAACUCCAGCCAUUUAAGGUCCACAGGCCGGGGGUGCAGAUGGCAGAGUGGGCAGGCCGGGCUGUUCCCCUGACCUGAGUCGGGCAGUGGGGUUAUGUGAGGGCGAGGGCAUGGCCGAGCGUUCGUCUGGGGAGAGAGGAAGCGACUGACCCUUGACCUUUGUAGCCAUGACAAGGCACUGCCUUCCAGCGCAUUCAGCAACACAAAAGUGGGCAUUCUGCAGUCGUAAAUUUCAUGUUUCAUAAAAGAUCUGUACACCAGUCAAGAACUGGUUCAUGUUUUUGAAAAUAUGUGUGUUUAAAGUGUUUUAAAAGGCAUUAAACCUUUCGUGUGUAUCACUACACUACACUUUUCCAUAUUUUUAGUACACAAUUACUCUAUAAUAACCAAAUGAACCACAUAAAAUGUGAAAGCAACUAUAAAGUAGAUCAAUGAUUCUCAACUGACCAAAAAGUGUCUUCCUCUCCCUCUUGUUUCCAUGGACUCUUAUUUCCAUGGACUCUUAUUUUGAAGUUUUCCCCUGGACUCCAUUUCCCAUAGAGCACUGCCCUCAUCACUGCCAGCUGUUCCUGAUUAUCCUAACCUGUCUUUCAUUUCCUCAUUAGUUCCUUUGUGUAUUUAUACCCUCCUGUCAUGUUCAUUCAUUGUCAGUUCUUGUCCGUGUAAAGCUUGUGUUGGUUAGCUAAUUUUGUUUAUGGCAUGCCACGGUGUCUUCAUCAUAUUCAUUAAAGUCUGCAUAUAGUUACAUCACCUCUCCUUCAUGCUCUCCACCACAACUUGUGACAAUAUAAUUGUGCAUAGUUAGGAAAGCAAAUUAAACAGGCUUAAUAACUUUUAAAGAGAGGAACAGUAUUUUGUUUUUGACAUCAAAGGCUGUGCAUCCAAUCAAACUCUAUGGUACUUUGCUGAAAACUCCCCUGUCACUUGGUAAUAUGGCUAAUACAAACUUAAUAUUUAGCCCUGUGUUUGUUCCAUGUGUUAGGCGGGCAGUGUUGGGAGGGUUACUUUUGAAGUGUAUUCCAUUGCAGAAUACAUGCUGUAAAAUGUAAAUUGUAACGUAUUUCGUUAGAUUACUCCAGGUCAGUAACUUAUUCUAAAUACUUUGGAUUACUUCUUCAGCACUGGUAGAUUCUUGUACUGCCAGUACAGUAAGACAAAAUACACAUGUUAAAAAUACAUUCUCUGAAAAACCUAAAUAUCUUAUGCAGUGUUGUUUCUAAAACAAGAUAAAUCAAACUGAUCUUGUUUUAAUGAUUUUUAGAUAUUUUUACAGGAAAACAAUACAAAAAUUAUCAAGAAUAUGAUUUUUUGCCCUAAUAUCAAAGGUCUUACUAGAAAAAAAGAAAUUAUAAUCCAAUGUGAAUUUUCUUGAUAAAAAAAAAUAUGAUUGUGCCUGGUAACGUGCAUGUAAAAUGGCUAGAAAUAGCAUUUUAGCUUAGCGUAAAGCUGACAAUUUAUACAAGAUUUCUAUUUCUUCUGCUCCAAACUUCAAAUUUACUUCUCUGUCUGCUUGUAUGAAUGUAACACAUAAGUGUUUCACCACUGUUCAAAUGCACUUUGGAUUGCAUAAUUUACAUGUAUACAUUUUUCCAUCUGAAAGGACUAAAUAUUAAAUGAAACAAAUGACAAUAAAAUGCAAAGUAAUCUCUUCAUUAAUCAAAAUACUUUUUGAAUGUAACUGUAUUCUAAAUACCAAUGAUUAAAAUUGUAGUGGAAUACAGUUACUUAUAUUUUGUAUUUUAAAUACGUAAUCCCGUUACAUGUAUUUCGUUACUCCCCAACACUGUAGGCGGGUAAUCACACUUUUGCUGUUGUUUAUACAUUUACAAAAUUGUCAGUAUUCCUAUUCAGCUUAUGGUAAUGAUUUUGUAUAUUGUUAGGCGUAUGCUAAUUGUUUGAUAUACAACUUUGAUUCCGUGUUGGGUCACCACUCGAUGUCUAAUGUAAAAUCUAAAGCAAAACCAUUUGAGAUUAGAUUACUAAGAAAAUAAACACUUUGGAUCACUUCCCAUUUUACCCAGAAAUUCAUAGAAUUUCCAUACAUUUAAUGACACAUAAAUCAAGUGUAGAUUUGGGAGAGUCCCACUUCAGGGGCUCUGUGCGUUUGUGCAUGACACUUAUUUGAUUUCUUUUGAUUACAGAUUGUUGUCCUCGGACAGCUCUGAAUUAGAUUAAUUACUCUUGAGGCUGCGUUUCUUGGUAAUAUGAACAUGGUGUUCUCUACUGUCUAACUCAAUGAUCUAUAUGGAGUAACAUGGUCCCUUGUUUACAAAUCAAAUGAACAGAAUGUCACUGUUGUUAUAGAAACAGUCUCUUUUAGGAAAUCCGGAUGUCCAUAUUUCUAGUUUUUCGACCAUUAGUUAUCUUAAAAAAAAAAAAAAAAAAAAAUUAUUUAUAUAUAUAUAAUAUAUAACUUUUUUCUUUUUUUUAAUUCCUGGUGUUGAGAAAUAUUCCAGAUGUCAAAUGUCUUUUAUAACAGACUAUAGUGUAAAGAUGUCUUUUCUAAUAACUCAUUAUAUGUGUAGCAAUGCAAGUUAUUUACCUUCCAAACACAUAACAAAGUGCAGAAUGUAGAGUGACUCUUAAAGAGCUUUGAAUCACAAUUACUCUUAAAUUAAUAGUAAGUGCCUCUAAUUAAAUAGUAGUACCUCCCCCCAUCUCCUCUGGAUCUAUGCCCCUGGAAUAGGGGUAUUAUGGCAAAUGGCAAAUGAAAUGAGAUUAGUCAUUUUCUUGUCAGAUUUAUUUUUUCUUUUGUUCUCAGUUACUCAAGGAUCAAAGAAGGAUUUAAUCAAUGGAGAUAAGUAUUAAAGAAGGAUGGAAAGGGUGAAUGCAGCUGAGAAUAUUGCUCUAAACUAGGUUAGCUUAGUCAGCAGUUUUAACUCAGUUCACAACAAUCACCACUAUUCAAUAAGUAGGCCAUUAAUCAACUUUGGAUGCUCCCAACCCAGAUAGCACAUCUCUGAGAUAUCUGUUUACGAGCGUUUCAUCUAGAAAGUAUCGCAUUCUAAUUAACAUCUUCUAAACAUCUUAAAAAGAUCAGAUUUACAAGCAUUCUAAAUCAUAAACGUCUCAAUGACAUCUGCCGAAUGUCUAAUUGACAUCUGAGAGGAAACAUCUUAUCGACGUAUUGCAGAUGAGCAAACAACCCAAAAAAUAUGUCUUCCAGGUGUAAACACACACAUCCAGUGGACGUCUGGGUGAUUUACAUGUGCUAUCAGGUAAUUGAAUGGGGCAGACUGCCAUUUUAAGUGGCAGAUUGUUGUGAUCAACAUUUAGAUACAUUUCAUUAUAACAUUAGCAUUUCUACCAGUAGGCCUAUCCAACAGGUCACACUAUUUCAACUAACUUCUGAGUAAAGAAGUCUCUUGAUAACUUUUGGGUAAGGCUAAAUGCUUAUAAGUAUUCUCGCAUUGCAUAAUUGUGACGCAUCUCAGCUACUUGGAUGGUAGGUGGUGACAACCUGCCCUAUUACAAUGGGACUCUUCACUUUAUUGCCAACCUCUGAUUAGUGCAUUCUGUAUCAGUAUCAGAUCAUCCAUCACUUAUGUCCCCGAGAAAUAGACAACACUACCCCCGUGUGGAUAUCCAUAAUAUCUGCAGAAUUUAUUUUCUCUUUUUCCAAGAGAAAAGCGAAUAUGUCCAUCGCAUUGUAGAUAAUGCUGAUAGUAACUGGAGCGAGUAAAUGUGAAUCAUUAAUUUAAAUUGUACGUGUAAUAUACGUGGCACCUUUCAUCUUGUGUGAUAUGUAAUAUAUGAGGAUUUGGAUACAAUGUCAAUUUGACCCACUUUUCAUGCUAUUUUUGUCAUUGUUAUACACUGUAUAAUAUUCAGUAUAAUAUACAAUACAGUACUGUGCAAAAGUCUUAGACGCAUCAUAUUUUUCACGUCUUCAAAUGUUUAUUUUAUAUAUUCUGUUUUUAGUAUAUCAUUAGGAAAUGUAUCACAGAAUGGUCGUUUUUGGGUGAACAAAUUCUUAAAGUGUGCUCCCAUAGUUUUUAUUCACCUUCUUUAAAUCAAUAGUUAAUUUUAAAGGUCCUGCAGUGUGACAAAUGAAAAGUAAAUUUGUUUUUUAAAAUACAAAUAUUUAAUGUAGUUGCUCAUUUAAUAUGGCCAUAAAAACUGUAUUCACUAUGAUUUAAAAAAAUAAUUAAAAAAGGUAUUUGUGAUUGCAAAAAAUUGACUAAAGACAACAAAUCAGCUUUGGGUUUGAGAAAAAAUAUAAUAUAUAAAAAUAUAAUACCAAAUGUGAUGCGUUUGGGGAAAAGAAAAACAUGCAGUCAGGAUCUUGAUGGUUUAUUAGAACAGGAAAUGAUAAAACAGAGCACAGUCUCCAUGCUCAAUGACAGCCAGAACUGAGGACAAUGAGCUGUCAAAUGCAAAAAUGUGUGUAGGUAUGUGUUUGUGUGAGUGAUCUCUUUUGUGUGUGCGUGUUUAUGUCCUUUUGUGUGCAAUUGUGCUGUUGAUUUCAAAAGCAUGCAUGUGACUGUCUGAUUGGUGGAGAAUAUUAGGGCACACAGUAGCAUGUUGUGCAGAAGUACACACUACGUCUGUGGAUUCAGACCGAGGCUGUGUUCAUGCAGAUAGUUCACUUAAAUUAAAUUUAAGCACUGAAAUUUGUAUGUACACUGAAGGGGACACGACUUGUCAUUUAAUGACAAUGAACCUAAUAACACAAACAGCCUCCAGCAUGAGACAAAACAGAAGUCCAUCACAUUUAACAGAAGACUUGGCUCUUUUGCAAAACGUUUCUUUCCUUCUCUCUCUUUCAGAAGAAACGUCUCCUGUACGGUUUUCAAGAAAAUCGCAUUGCAAAGUUCAUAAACCAGGAUCAAACACUGAAAUUCAGGUCACAGUCACAGCAAAAUUGUAAUCAUUGCCAUCAUCCAAAAACUUCACACACCAGAGAGCAAAUCAAAUCACUUGCGUGAAAUCAUAAACCAUAAAUCUAAAACAUUACCACAAAAACAAACAAACAAAUAUAAAAAUGAAGAUAUCAUUGCUGGCUAAUAUAUUCUCUACAGUUUUACAAAAAUGCAGACUCUGUGCUUGUUGUCAGAUGUCAGGUUUUGCCGAGUGAAAGCAUGUCAUUUUUAAACAAACUAUUUAUUUUGUUGUAUUCGCACAUUCUCUUUAAGGGUGGCCCAUUAGUUCUGGCAUUUUGUGGCUGGGGGCACGUAAAAAUCAGGACUGUCAAAGACAAAGCAAAGCAAAAAAAAAAAAAGCCCUUCUGACAAUGAGAAUGCCCCAGGCAAACUGUCUGUAUUGUUCAUGGACAGCAUUUUUAUUAGAAAAUGGAGAGUAUGCUUUCUAAAACUAGAUAUAUUUCUGCCCAAACAAAACGACGGCAGAGUUUUAAGUCUGGCUCUAUUUCUUGCUUGAGAGGGUUACAACAUAGAAAAACAGUGAAACAAUUCUCAUUUAUUUUCUUUAAGAGGAAACACACUUUAUAGAGCUCCACAGCAAAUUAACUCCAUUUCAUUGGCUUUUUUUCUUUUUUUAUAUAUAUUGUGAAUUAACCCAGGCAGUUUUUAGACACACACACACACACAAAUGUGUACAGAGCUGCUCAAGAAUAAACUGUGUUUGGUGCAGGGUCAGAAAUUAACUCGAGAUUGGGGUGAAAAUGCCACUGUAAAUGAGAAAAAUGGCACGUAUAUUUAAAAUGUGUGUAGUGAAUUCUUCUGUUUUUGAUACAUCAUAUGUAUUUCAUAAUGUUCUAUCAUAUGCCUGUGUCUCCCUUUCUUUUCUUUUGAAGAAAGAAAGUCAUACGGGUUUGGAACAACUUGAGGGUAAGUUUCAUUUUCAGGUGAAUCCUCUAUUCCCUUUAAUGUAAAAAUAAUUUCUGACGCUGAUUUGUUGGUUGUUCCUAGGGUUUAGGGUUAUUCUAGGUAAUGUUACAUUAUGGAAUGUAAUAAAAUCUUAUGGAAGAUGACUUGGAUUGGAUGUGCUGCUUUUCUUGUUUUUAAUGCCUUCUCUUUCUUGCUUGCCGUUGUACAGCGCACAUCUAAUGUAAUUGCUUUUUUAAAAUCUGGCUUUAAAGAACUGUGAGUAAUCAAGUGGGUGCCUGCAUCUCUGCACAUCCACGUCUCCCAUGAUCAUCUCUAGGCCUUAUCAAGCCAACAUAGACUUUUAUCAUGCAUGUUCGGCCUAAUGGUGCAAUAGAGUGAAAAAGCCAAAGAGAGGGAGGGAGGGCGAGAGCAGGCAUGGGUGAGCAGAUUUUUUUCAGCACGUAGAGAACUUCACUGAGGGGUUUGUCUGUGUGCGUUUAAGGGUGUUGCAAGCAUUCGAUUGAGGGCACAAGAGUUGAAUAGUAAAUAUCAACAGAGAAGCUGCGUAACAGUUCAAAAACAACAGUGUCAAAACUGUUGUAUCGUGUAAAGUAUUUACAUACUGAGUUGUAACUUAGAACUCAUUCAAUACACUGGCACUUAAAACCUAUGAAUUAUAUACUUCAUUCAUUUCUUAUACUGUUCUGCGGCUCUAUACCUCUGCAUUAAAAUAAGAACGCACUCCCUUUUUUUUUUUUUUUUUA
Myxocyprinus asiaticus (Chinese sucker) is the source of this 10517-nucleotide long non-coding RNA. RefSeq lists it as uncharacterized. The transcript has 2 exons. The record is from RefSeq and is a predicted model, not a curated record. Lineage: Eukaryota; Metazoa; Chordata; Actinopteri; Cypriniformes; Catostomidae.